This 501-nucleotide ribosomal RNA is filed under the name uncultured bacterium. Its description in RNAcentral is "bacterial SSU rRNA". It matches the Rfam family "Bacterial small subunit ribosomal RNA", at positions 28 to 529 of the family's 1533-position model. The record is from RNAcentral.
GAUGAACGCUAGCGGCAGGCCUAAUACAUGCAAGUCGAGGGGCAAUCCCGAUUUAUCGGGACUAGACCGGCGGACGGGUGCGUAACGCGUAUGCAACCUGCCCACUACAGGGGGACAGCCCGUGGAAACAUGGAUUAAUACCCCAUAAAGCAGGGGCCACACAUGUGGCUAUUGCUAAAGCCGAGGCGGUAGUGGAUGGGCAUGCGUCUGAUUAGCUGGUUGGCGGGGUAACGGCCCACCAAGGCGAUGAUCAGUAGGGGGUCUGAGAGGAUGAUCCCCCACACUGGCACUGAGAUACGGGCCAGACUCCUACGGGAGGCAGCAGUAGGGAAUAUUGGUCAAUGGGCGAUAGCCUGAACCAGCCAUGCCGCGUGCAGGAAGACGGCCUUCUGGGUUGUAAACUGCUUUUGGACGGGGGUAAAAGGGCCAUGCGUGGCCGCUUGCAAGUACCGUUCGAAUAAGCACCGGCUAACUCCGUGCCAGCAGCCGCGGUAAUACGGA